CCUACGGGAGACAGCAGUGAGGAAUAUUGGUCAAUGGGAGAGAUCCUGAACCAGCCAAGCCGCGUGAGGGAAGACGGCCCUAUGGGUUGUAAACCUCUUUUGUCGGAGAACAAAACCCGGGACGUGUCCCGGACUGCGUGUAUCCGAAGAAAAAGCAUCGGCUAAUUCCGUGCCAGCAGCCGCGGUAAUACGGAGGAUGCGAGCGUUAUCCGGAUUUAUUGGGUUUAAAGGGUGCGUAGGCGGUCCGUUAAGCCUGCGGUAAAAUUGCGGGGCUCAACCCCGUCGUGCCGUUGGAACUGGCAGGCUUGAGUUGGCGGAAAGUAGGCGGAAUGCGCGGUGUAGCGGUGAAAUGCAUAGAUAUCGCGCAGAACUCCGAUUGCGAAGGCAGCGUGCCGGAGCCAGACUGACGCUGAGGCACGAAAGCGUGGGGAUCGAACAGGAUUAGAUACCCGAGUAGUC
RNAcentral lists this ribosomal RNA (459 nucleotides) under uncultured bacterium. Its description in RNAcentral is "partial 16S ribosomal RNA". It matches the Rfam family "Bacterial small subunit ribosomal RNA", at positions 338 to 795 of the family's 1533-position model. The record is from RNAcentral.